This 645-nucleotide ribosomal RNA is filed under the name uncultured bacterium. RNAcentral describes it as "bacterial SSU rRNA". It matches the Rfam family "Bacterial small subunit ribosomal RNA", at positions 232 to 885 of the family's 1533-position model. The record is from RNAcentral.
CGCGGCCUAUCAGCUUGUUGGUGAGGUAACGGCUCACCAAGGCAACGACGGGUAGCUGGUCUGAGAGGACGAUCAGCCACACUGGGACUGAGACACGGCCCAGACUCCUACGGGAGGCAGCAGCAGGGAAUAUUGCACAAUGGGCGAAAGCCUGAUGCAGCGACGCCGCGUGGGGGAUGAAGGCCUUCGGGUUGUAAAUCCCUUUCAGGAGGGACGAAGCGAAAGUGACGGUACCUCCAGAAGAAGCCCCGGCCAACUACGUGCCAGCAGCCGCGGUAAUACGUAGGGGGCGAGCGUUGUCCGGAUUUAUUGGGCGUAAAGAGCUCGUAGGCGGCUCAACAAGUCGGCCGUGAAAGCCCGAGGCUUAACCUCGGGACGCCGGUCGAAACUGUUGUGGCUAGGGUCCGGUAGAGGAGAGUGGAAUUCCCGGUGUAGCGGUGAAAUGCGCAGAUAUCGGGAGGAACACCAGUAGCGAAGGCGGCUCUCUGGGCCGGCACCGACGCUGAGGAGCGAAAGCUAGGGGAGCAAACAGGAUUAGAUACCCUGGUAGUCCUAGCCGUAAACGAUGGGUACUAGGUGUGGCGGAUUCAUUGACAUCUGCCGUGCCGAAGCUAACGCAUUAAGUACCCCGCCUGGGGAGUACGG